Molecule: ribosomal RNA, 423 nt
Filed under: uncultured bacterium
Lineage: Bacteria
Description: bacterial SSU rRNA
Rfam family: Bacterial small subunit ribosomal RNA
Source: RNAcentral
AAGASCUUGCGCUUUUGGAGUGGCCGAUGCCUGAUUAGCUAGUUGGUGGGGUAAGGGCCUACCAAGGCAACGAUCAGUAGUUGGUCUGAGAGGACGACCAGCCACACUGGGACUGAGACACGGCCCAGACUCCUACGGGAGGCAGCAGUGGGGAAUUUUGGACAAUGGGCGAAAGCCUGAUCCAGCAAUGCCGCGUGAGUGAAGAAGGCCUUCGGGUUGUAAAGCUCUUUCAGUCGAGAAGAAAAGGUUGUGACUAAUAAUCACAACUUAUGACGGUACCGACAGAAGAAGCACCGGCUAACUACGUGCCAGCAGCCGCGGUAAUACGUAGGGUGCGAGCGUUAAUCGGAAUUACUGGGCGUAAAGGGUGCGCAGGCGGCUUUGUAAGUCAGAUGUGAAAUCCCCGGGCUUAACCUGGGAAUU